This is a long non-coding RNA of Salvelinus fontinalis (brook trout), 2311 nucleotides long. RefSeq lists it as uncharacterized. The record is from RefSeq and is a predicted model, not a curated record. NCBI's taxonomy places the organism in Eukaryota, Metazoa, Chordata, Actinopteri, Salmoniformes, Salmonidae. The transcript has 3 exons.
ACGUAUAAUCUAGUGGACGGUUCUUCAUAAACAGCUCGUCAACCACCUCGGUAGCUUGCUAGCCAACAUAGCCGAAAGAUUCAAGCUAUUUAGACGCUUUCGGUGUAUAUUAGCUACUGUGUUUUAGCCACACUUCUGUCGUAUCUACUUGUUAACCUAUUUAAUUUAAUAUUACGUUAUUUGUUAUUAGUCAGCUAUAGUAGCUGGCUGGUUAAGUUAGCACUAGCCUAGUCGCUAAUGAUAGCUAGCUAGCUAACAUCCCCGAACAUGAGCUCCCUAAACUUCUCCCCUCUUGUUAAAGAAGAGGCAGUCUGCUGGACGGAGAAAGGAGGUCUGUGGCUGAACGUUGUGGUGAAAGAGGAGGCGGAAGAAGAGGCUGUCACAGUAAAACAAGAAGUAGAGGAUGGGGCUGUUACAGUGAAAGAAGAGGAAGACGCGUUCAGAGUGAAAGAGGAGGAGGAGGAUGUAGUUUUUGGUGUGAAAGAAGAGGAGGUUGGAGAUCUGUUUAACACCAGUAGCUAGCUACCAGCCAUGGAGGAGGGUGAAAGGAUAGCAGCCCCAACUGUCAGUGAGAGAGGAGGCUAUUCUGGAUAGGGCAGGUACUUUUGUGUAGUUCCUGUCCCUAGAAGUGAGGACGGAGAUAAUAGUAACAUAAUAUUCAGUGUGGUGUAAUUUGACUAUAAUGAAGUGUGUUUCUUGUGAGGUUUUCUGUCCUCAGAUAAAGAGCGCUAUGAAAGCCAGUCUACAUAUGAAGAGGUCCCAAUGAAGAGCAGUGGUUCUCAGUCCUGGGGACUCAAAGAGGCACAUUGUUGUUUUUGUCUCAGCACUGCACAGCUGAUUCAAAUGAUCAACUCAUCAUCAAGCUUCAAGUGGUAUUUAUGUAGUCAUUUGUGAUGUCAUCCUUGAUAUGAUCCUGUUAUUGUCACAUGCUACACAUGUACAUAUGUGUGCCCAUGCAUCUAUCAAUCCAAUGUUAUCAUGAUUUGUUAUCAGGGAUAUUAUACUUUAGUAAUCCACAAUGACUUGGUGAUGUAACAGUUACAUUGUCUUGGUUAGGUGCUGUUCCCUGGCAACACCAUAGACUACACUAUGCACAACCAAAGGUUCUUUUAAGAGGGUGCUGUUCCCUGGCAACACCAUAGACUACACUAUGCACAACCAAAGGCUCUUUUAAGAGGGUGCUGUUCCCUGGCAACACCAUAGACUACACUAUGCACAACCAAAGGCUCUUUUAAGAGGGUGCUGUUCCCUGGCAACACCAUAGACUACACUAUGCACAACCAAAGGCUCUUUUAAGAGGGUGCUGUUCCCUGGCAACACCAUAGACUACACUAUGCACAACCAAAGGCUAUUUUAAGAGCCAUCAACAUUGCAAUAAGAGUAUUCUUCCAUUUACUUAGCUAUGUCAACUGCAGUUAUUAAAUUCAUAGUUUCUCUCCCUUUGAUUUCUACUUCUCAGGUGAGGGUGCAGUUUAGGUAAGGGUUUGAUGUCUGUGCAAAAACAUCUUAAAUCACCCAUAUGGAAAAAAUGUAGAACAAUUAGACACCCUAUAACCCACACCUACACACUCGUGUAUCAAUCUGAUUGAUGGAUUGUGUUCUGCAGUAAACAGGCUCAGGUGUAUAACUGUGGCUCCUUCCACCUUCAAAGAAUAGGCAAGAGGGCCAACCAUAGAGAAUAGUAAGACACUUCAUUAUUUCUAUAACUACGCUAUAUUGUUUGUCUUUGUGUGCCCGUUCAUGUUUUUCAGCAUAAAGUACUCUGCAGCCACUUAGUGUGGUGUGGACACCAGGUGAGGCCACACACAGAUUCCUGUUGAACACUGUGGCUUUAACUACCUUAUUUUCUCAAUAACAGUCUCUCUCCUUCACUUCAUCCCUCUCUCCCCUUCUCCCUAAAUCCUCUAGGUUAUAUCAGCUGUGUCGGUGAACCCCUCCUACAUCUGAACUGGCUACAUAGAGGGCACAGCAUGAUCAGAGAUAUGUUUUGAUGUGAGAGGAUGCCAACCCCUAGUCCCAUCAUCGCCACCUCAGCUGCUUUUAAGAUAACCUUUGGGCCGACUAGAGACACUGUUAUGUAAUUGUGAUGAACUGAGAGAAUAUUUAUGUAGCACUGUGAUUCAUUAAUCAUGUGCUGCCUUCCCUGCUCCUAUGUGCUUACCUCUUUCCCUUUCUGUCUUUUACACCUCUCUCUCACCUCCUCUUUCUUCCUCUGUUUUUAUAAUGCACAACAGAUGUGCAUUGAAGUACAGAUUGAACUUGUAUUUAUAACACUUGGAUAAUGAGCUUUUCAAUAAAGCGUUUCACAUUC